This 293-nucleotide ribosomal RNA is filed under the name uncultured bacterium. Its description in RNAcentral is "partial 16S ribosomal RNA". It matches the Rfam family "Bacterial small subunit ribosomal RNA", at positions 775 to 1067 of the family's 1533-position model. The record is from RNAcentral.
GGAUUAGAUACCCUGGUAGUCCACGCCGUAAACGAUGACAACUAGCUGUUGGAAAACAAUAGUUUUUCAGUGGCGCAGCUAACGCAAUAAGUUGUCCGCCUGGGGAGUACGGCCGCAAGGUUAAAACUCAAAUGAAUUGACGGGGACCCGCACAAGCGGUGGAGCAUGUGGUUUAAUUCGAUGCAACGCGAAAAACCUUACCUACUCUUGACAUCCUUGGAACCUUUUGUAAUGAAAGGGUGCCUUUUGGAACCAAGUGACAGGUGCUGCAUGGCUGUCGUCAGCUCGUGCUG